AUACGGAGGGUGCAAGCGUUAUCCGGAAUCACUGGGUUUAAAGGGUGCGUAGGCGGUCCGACAAGUCAGAGGUGAAAUACACGAGCUUAACUGGUGAAUUGCCUUUGAAACUGUCGAGCUAGAAUCAUGUUGAGGUCAGCGGAAUGAGUCAUGUAGCGGUGAAAUGCAUAGAUAUGACUUAGAACACCAAUUGCGUAGGCAGCUGGCUAGGCAUUAAUUGACGCUGAGGCACGAAAGCGUGGGGAGCGAACAGGAUUAGAAACCCUUGUAGUCC
Molecule: ribosomal RNA, 274 nt
Filed under: uncultured bacterium
Lineage: Bacteria
Description: partial 16S ribosomal RNA
Rfam family: Bacterial small subunit ribosomal RNA
Source: RNAcentral